This 768-nucleotide long non-coding RNA is filed under the name Rattus norvegicus (Norway rat). RNAcentral describes it as "long non-coding RNA NONRATT014089". The record is from RNAcentral. Lineage: Eukaryota; Metazoa; Chordata; Mammalia; Rodentia; Muridae.
GCCGGGUCGCGGCUGGAGUGAGGACGCGCUGUGUGGAGCAGCGGAGCCAAGGCGCUGCUUCCACAGCUGCUCAGGAGGGGAGCAUGUCUGCAACUCGAGCCAAGAAAGUGAAGAUGGCCACCAAAUCGUGCCCGGAGUGCGACCAACAGAAAACAAGCAUGAGGCCAAGAGGAGGCGAACAGAGAGAGUCAGGCGAGAGAAGAUAAAUUCUACAGUAAAUAAAGAUUUAGAAAACAGAAAGAGAUCUCGAAGUAACAGCCAUUCAGAUCAUAUCAGACGAGGAAGAGGAAGACCUAAAAGUUCAUCCGCCAAAAAACACGAGGAAGAGAGAGAAAAACAGGAGAAGGAAAUUGACAUCUAUGCUAACCUCUCUGAUGAGAAGGCUUUCGUGUUUUCAGUUGCCUUGGCAGAAAUAAAUAGAAAAAUUAUCAAUCAAAGACUUAUUCUCUGAUAUUUGUCUUCAGAAUCUGUCGCCACUUUCUUCAGGAUGAUGUCAGCAGAUGCUCAGACAGUCGUGGACUCUCAGACUGUGUGAGCGAGGGCCACUGUUGCUUCUCUCUGUUUUCUAGUCUGUUGCCACACUUAGGGAGCCAAGCUGCGGGCUUAGACUCUGCUGGGAUUUCCUGUUUACCAAGGAUUAUUAUCAGUGUUCUGUGUUGGGAUUUACUAAGUGUAUUUACAAAAACAAACAAGCAAAACUACCCCAAAAGCCCUGGCAACUGGAUGGAUAUUUACAGAGGAAGGGUGGGGGAUAGGAGUGUGGUGGAA